RNAcentral lists this unclassified non-coding RNA (316 nucleotides) under plant metagenome. RNAcentral's name for it is "partial contains 5.8S ribosomal RNA, internal transcribed spacer 2, and large subunit ribosomal RNA". The stretch from base 1 to 105 matches the Rfam family "5.8S ribosomal RNA", at positions 50 to 154 of the family's 154-position model. The record is from RNAcentral.
GAAAUGCGAUAACUAGUGUGAAUUGCAGAAUUCCGUGAAUCAUCGAGUCUUUGAACGCACAUUGCGCCCCCUGGUAUUCCGGGGGGCAUGCCUGUCCGAGCGUCAUUGCUGCCCAUCAAGCACGGCUUGUGUGUUGGGUCGUCGUCCCCUCUCCGGGGGGGACGGGCCCCAAAGGCAGCGGCGGCACCGCGUCCGAUCCUCGAGCGUAUGAGGCUUUGUCACCCGCUCUGUAGGCCCGGCCGGCGCUUGCCGAACGCAAAUCAAUCUUUUUCCAGGUUGACCUCGGAUCAGGUAGGGAUACCCGCUGAACUUAAGC